CUCCGGGGCGACCCUGCCUUCGGGCGGGGGCUCCGGGUGGACACUUCAAACUCUUGCGUAACUUUGCAGUCUGAGUAAACUUAAUUAAUAAAUUAAAACUUUUAACAACGGAUCUCUUGGUUCUGGCAUCGAUGAAGAACGCAGCGAAAUGCGAUAAGUAAUGUGAAUUGCAGAAUUCAGUGAAUCAUCGAAUCUUUGAACGCACAUUGCGCCCCCUGGUAUUCCGGGGGGCAUGCCUGUUCGAGCGUCAUUUCACCACUCAAGCCUCGCUUGGUAUUGGGCAACGCGGUCCGCCGCGUGCCUCAAAUCGACCGGCUGGGUCUUCUGUCCCCUAAGCGUUGUGGAAACUAUUCGCUAAAGGGUGUUCGGGAGGCUACGCCGUAAAACAACCCCAUUUCUAAGGUUGACCUCGGAUCAGGUAGGGAUACCCGCUGAACUUAAGCAUAUCAAUA
This 452-nucleotide ribosomal RNA is filed under the name Davidiellaceae sp. FL-2010a. RNAcentral's name for it is "eukaryotic LSU rRNA". The stretch from base 97 to 250 matches the Rfam family "5.8S ribosomal RNA". Lineage: Eukaryota; Fungi; Ascomycota; Dothideomycetes; Cladosporiales; Cladosporiaceae. The record is from RNAcentral.